Molecule: RNA transcript, 4071 nt
Organism: Scleropages formosus (Asian bonytongue)
Lineage: Eukaryota; Metazoa; Chordata; Actinopteri; Osteoglossiformes; Osteoglossidae
Gene: mark3a
Gene name: MAP/microtubule affinity-regulating kinase 3a
Exons: 18
Source: RefSeq, a predicted model, not a curated record
GCUUGGCUUGGAACUCCUCAGUCACCGGGCAGCCAUCUUGGAUCUAGUUAUCAAGCGAACUGUACUUUUUGGAGAUGGGCGAAAGCGACGCGCUCGGGUGUUUUAUAGAGAAGCGUUGCUUCUGAGAACUGGGACAGGGGGCGCCGGAAACCGAAUGAUAACUGAACGUGAAACAGGCUCAGAUAAAGAACAAGCUGGCAGGGAUAUUUGAGAGCGGUUGGGCGAACCCCGUCCCCUUCUCCUUGUGUGGAUGCGGUGCGGCUGUCGGGGGCCUGUUCAUCGCCGGCGUUAGUGUUUCUAUGUUCACAUCGCUUUUAAUCGCAGAGGACCUGGAGGCCUGACGGCGGACCACCCGCUGUUCUCCCCCGUGUCAGCUCUUUUAUUUCGUGGCUCCUUAGUAGCCGGAGACGGUUUUUUUUUUUUUUUUUUAUUUCUCCACAGGUGCGUUCCGAGGGAAUAAUGCCGCCCUGUCCUGUGUGACUCCGCUUUGCUAAGUCAGCCGGGUAGUUUGGUCUUCAGUGCUCAGCUCAUCUUAUUUAAUAAUAUAAGACAAGUUUUAUGAAAGUUUGCCUGCGGACCGUGGCUGAAAUCCCCCUGCGGAUCCAUGUAUGCGUUUUGAGACUGACGUUAACCCCGAAAAGCGAGCUGUAGUCCGUUUCGAGGAGCGCGCUGUGACGGUGCGCGUUCACGAAGACGAUGUCCACCAGAACACCGCUACCCACAGUCAACGAAAGAGACACAGAGAACCACACUUCACACGGUGAUGGACGCACAGAGAUUACCACGCGGCCUAGCCGCUCUGGUGCCCGUUGCCGUAACUCCAUCGCCUCCUGCACAGAUGAACAGCCGCACAUCGGCAACUACCGGUUGCUCAAGACCAUCGGCAAGGGCAAUUUCGCCAAAGUCAAGCUGGCACGGCACAUCCUCACUGGCCGAGAGGUUGCAAUAAAAAUAAUUGAUAAGACCCAGCUGAACCCCACCAGUCUUCAGAAGCUCUUCAGGGAAGUGAGAAUUAUGAAAAUUCUAAACCACCCAAAUAUUGUCAAGCUGUUUGAGGUCAUCGAGACAGAGAAGACUCUGUACUUGGUGAUGGAAUAUGCAAGUGGAGGGGAGGUCUUCGACUACCUUGUAGCACAUGGAAGGAUGAAGGAAAAGGAGGCCAGGGCUAAAUUUAGACAGAUUGUGUCAGCUGUGCAAUACUGCCAUCAGAAGCACAUAGUCCACCGGGAUCUAAAGGCUGAGAACCUGCUCCUAGAUGCGGACAUGAACAUCAAGAUUGCAGACUUUGGCUUCAGCAACGAGUUCACACUGGGCAACAAACUGGACACUUUCUGUGGCAGCCCCCCCUAUGCCGCACCAGAACUCUUCCAGGGCAAGAAGUAUGAUGGUCCUGAGGUAGAUGUGUGGAGUCUGGGGGUCAUCCUCUACACUCUGGUCAGUGGUUCACUGCCCUUUGAUGGCCAGAAUCUCAAGGAGCUGCGCGAGCGGGUGCUGAGGGGGAAAUACAGAAUCCCCUUCUACAUGUCCACUGACUGUGAGAACCUGCUUAAGCGCUUCCUGGUGCUCAACCCAACCAAACGGGGUACACUUGAGCAAAUCAUGAAGGACCGCUGGAUCAAUGCUGGCUGCGAGGAUGAUGAGCUCAAGCCCUUCGUAGAACCUGAACUGGACAUUACGGACCAGAAGAGAAUAGACAUAAUUGUGGGUAUGGGCUACUCACGGGAAGAGAUUCAAGAGUCUCUGGCUCGAAUGAAGUACGACGAGAUCACAGCCACCUACUUGCUGCUGGGCAGGAAAUCAACUGAGCUGGAGGCCAGUGACUCCAGCUCUAGUAGUAAUCUGUCACUGGCAAAGGCCAGACCUAGCAGUGAGCUCAACAAUGGCCAGUCGCCUUCCCACCACAAGGUGCAGAGGAGUGUCUCAAGCCAGAAGCAGAGGCGGUACAGUGACCAGGCGGGCCCAACCAUUCCUCCAUCAGUAGGCUACCCCAAGAGGAGCCAGACCAGCACAGCUGACAGUGACCUCAAGGAGGAAGGUGGGGCACAGCCACGCAAGUCCAGCACAGUGGGAGUCCGGCCCGUGGCUCCACCAAGCCCCAUGUUGGGCAAUGCCAGCAACCCUAACAAGGCAGACAUUCCGGAACGCAAAAAGGGCUCUUCCACUCCAAAUAGUAACUCUGUAUCUGGGGGGAUGACCAGAAGGAAUACCUAUGUGUGCAGUGAGAGGAAUGCCACAGACCGCCUUGCCGUUGUUCAAAACGGGAAGGAGAACAGCUCUGCAGCGACAGCUGGUCAGCGGAACCCAGUGGCAUCCUCCCACAGCAUCAGCAGUGCCACACCGCCAGACCGGCUGCGCUUCCCACGAGGCACAGCCAGUCGCAGCACCUUCCAUGGAGGACAGCUGCGGGAGCGCCGCACCGCCACCUACAAUGGACCACCUGCCUCACCCACCCUGUCACAUGAUGCCACUCCCCUGUCCCAGUCCCGCAGCCGUGGCUCGUCCAACCUUUUCAGCAAGCUCACCUCAAAGCUUACACGCAGAAACAUGUCAUUCAGGUUUACCAAAAGGGUCAAUAUUGACCCCCCCAUACAGCAGACUACAAACAAAUCAGGGCCUGCCGCCCCCCCCUGCCCACAUGGCAAAGACCAUUAGUAAGUCCUCAGUCCACAACCCUCACUCUGCUUGACUUCUGUAUUUCUGUGAUCCUGUGUUGUGUUCAGAGCUUUUUCUGUUCAAUAUUUUGAUUGUUGUAAGUUGUUGUUAUUGGUGUUUUUCCUGUCAGUGAAUUAGCUGCAUUUUUCACCAAACAUGACCCUGCCAUGAUAGAGAAUGAUGGUCAGAAAAAAUGGCUGCAGAGACUCUCAAAUAUAUACAUCUUAAGCAUAACACGUGGCACUCCCACCACAGCACUGCUAUAAUGAGUUGGGUAAUUGCUUGUCAUCUGGAGGCAUUUUGGGCAUUGUCUGCCUAGAGUGAGUGUCUGGCCAUGGGUCUGAUUUCCUGAAGCUCUGUCAUCUCAUCUUUGGCUCUCUGAGCUGUUGAUCCUUAACUCAGCUUUCAGCCAAACCUUUGCCACCUAAUGUGAAAUCCUCCUGUAAACAUUCCUCCUUAGUAAGUUUCUAAUGGUGGCAUUGGUCCCAGACAAACUACUCAUGUACUAGAAGGAGGUAGUCUUGCUUUUGAACCUUGGCACUCUAUGUGACAUUGAUUGUGUGAUAGGUUAUAUCUUAUUAAAGGUGUACCUAUGAAUAUAACAAGUGUAUAUCUUCACUGGCAAAGUUCCUCCUGCUUACUGCAAACCAGUUCAACAAGAUUUCUGUAGAUUUAGGGCGGCUGUGCAGACUGCAUUGCUUUUUUUUUUUUUUGUUCCCCCCUACUCUCCAUGCAACACACUUUCUUGUUCAGUCUAAGCCAUUGACUGCCCUUCAAUCAUUUAAAACUGAGUACCAAAACCCUUUCAGCAUACUUGGUAAAUGCAUGACAAUGUCUUGACUACGUGUACAAUAAUCAGUGAACACUUGUUCUUGGUCUGAGAAGCAAGAUGUUAAAUUAGAUCUGUACAUUCAUCUUGAGACCUUCAAACUUGACUAAGAUGGUCAAGUGCAAGUGUAGUCAAGAGAACUGAGGCGGUUUUACCAUCUGUCUUCAAGUUAGUCCCGGUGAAUGCAUUUGGAGUUGAAGCUUGGAACAAAUACCACACUGCGUGUAACCUAUGUUGUAUCCAUUGGGUGACAGUUGCCUGGCUGAUGGCUUCUUUGUUUUUCCUAGCGUCCUCUGUUCUGCGUUCUUUCUAAACUUUUCCUGUACUAUCACUUCAACUGACAGCUGUCGAUUUUCAAAUGAAGGUUUUUUUUCCCUGUCCUCAGAAUCACUCUUUUUCUCCCCUCUCUGUCUUUCUCUCUCUCUUUCUCUCCUUCAUAUUCUACCCCCCUGUGUCCUUUGACUGGUAAAGGGUCCCGGCAGAGUUUGAGAGAAAUGGGAGAUUUGAGGGCUCAAGUCGCAACGUGGCUGGAGAUCAGAAGGAUGAGAACAAAGAUGCCAAGCCCCGUUCCCUCCGCUUCACCUGGAGCA